This 665-nucleotide ribosomal RNA is filed under the name uncultured bacterium. RNAcentral's name for it is "bacterial SSU rRNA". It matches the Rfam family "Bacterial small subunit ribosomal RNA", at positions 60 to 693 of the family's 1533-position model. The record is from RNAcentral.
AGUCGAGCGAGCGGAACUACAGAUUUACUUCGGUAAUGACGUUAGGAAAGCGAGCGGCGGAUGGGUGAGUAACACGUGGGGAACCUGCCCCAUAGUCUGGGAUACCACUUGGAAACAGGUGCUAAUACCGGAUAAGAAAGCAGAUCGCAUGAUCAGCUUUUAAAAGGCGGCGUAAGCUGUCGCUAUGGGAUGGCCCCGCGGUGCAUUAGCUAGUUGGUAAGGUAAAGGCUUACCAAGGCGAUGAUGCAUAGCCGAGUUGAGAGACUGAUCGGCCACAUUGGGACUGAUACACGGCCCAAACUCCUACGGGAGGCAGCAGUAGGGAAUCUUCCACAAUGGACGCAAGUCUGAUGGAGCAACGCCGCGUGAGUGAAGAAGGUUUUCGGAUCGUAAAGCUCUGUUGUUGGUGAAGAAGGAUAGAGGUAGUAACUGGCCUUUAUUUGACGGUAAUCAACCAGAAAGUCACGGCUAACUACGUGCCAGCAGCCGCGGUAAUACGUAGGUGGCAAGCGUUGUCCGAAUUUAUUGGGCGUAAAGCGAGCGCAGGCGGAAGAAUAAGUCUGAUGUGAAAGCCCUCGGCUUAACCGAGGAACUGCAUCGGAAACUGUUUUUCUUGAGUGCAGAAGAGGAGAGUGGAACUCCAUGUGUAGCGGUGGAAUGCGUAG